GACGAACGCUGGCGGCGUGCCUAACACAUGCAAGUCGAACGGAAAGGCCAUGCUUUUGUGGGGUGCUCGAGUGGCGAACGGGUGAGUAACACGUGAGUAACCUGCACUUGACUUUGGGAUAACUUCAGGAAACUGGGGAUCAUACAGGAUAGGAGCUCCUGCUGCAUGGUGGGGGUUGGAAAGUUUCGGUGGUUGGGGAUGGACUUGCGGCUUAACAGCUUGUUGGUGGGGUAGUGGCUUACCAGGGCUUUGACGGGUAGCCGGCAUGAGAGAGUGGCCGGCCACACUGGGACUGAAAGGCGGCCCAGAGUCGGACGGGUGGCAGAAGGGGGGAAUGUUGCACGAUGGACGGAAGCCUGAGGCAGCAAGGCCGCGGGCGGGAAGACCGCCGUCGUGUUGUAAGCCGCUUUCGCCUGGUACGAAGCGUGAGUGACAGGAAUCGGUAAAAAAGCACCGGCUAACUACGUGC
This 469-nucleotide ribosomal RNA is filed under the name uncultured bacterium. Its description in RNAcentral is "partial 16S ribosomal RNA". It matches the Rfam family "Bacterial small subunit ribosomal RNA", at positions 28 to 508 of the family's 1533-position model. The record is from RNAcentral.